This 547-nucleotide ribosomal RNA is filed under the name Candidatus Phytoplasma trifolii. Its description in RNAcentral is "bacterial SSU rRNA". It matches the Rfam family "Bacterial small subunit ribosomal RNA", at positions 190 to 739 of the family's 1533-position model. Lineage: Bacteria; Bacillati; Mycoplasmatota; Mollicutes; Acholeplasmatales; Acholeplasmataceae. The record is from RNAcentral.
AAGCCACCCUCUUAUGAAGGUAUGCUUAAAGAGGGGCUUGCGCCACAUUAGUUAGUUGGUAGGGUAAAAGCCUACCAAGACGAUGAUGUGUAGCUGGACUGAGAGGUUGAACAGCCACAUUGGGACUGAGACACGGCCCAAACUCCUACGGGAGGCAGCAGUAGGGAAUUUUCGGCAAUGGAGGAAACUCUGACCGAGCAACGCCGCGUGAACGAUGAAGUAUUUCGGUAUGUAAAGUUCUUUUAUUGAAGAAGAAAAAGUAGUGGAAAAACUAUAUUGACGUUAUUCAAUGAAUAAGCCCCGGCUAACUAUGUGCCAGCAGCCGCGGUAAGACAUAGGGGGCGAGCGUUAUCCGGAAUUAUUGGGCGUAAAGGGUGCGUAGGCUGUUAGAUAAGUCUAUAAUUUAAUUUCAGUGCUUAACGCUGUCUUGUUAUAGAAACUGUCUUGACUAGAGUGAGAUAGAGGCAAGCGGAAUUCCAUGUGUAGCGGUAAAAUGUGCACAUAUAUGGAGGAACACCAGAAGCGUAGGCGGCUUGCUGGGUCUUUA